CCUACGGGUGGCAGCAGUCGAGAAUCAUUCACAAUGGGGAAACCCUGAUGGUGCGACGCCGCGUGGGGGAAUGAAGAUCUUCGGAUUGUAAACCCCUGUCAUGUGGGAGCAAAUUCAAAAGAUAGUACCACCCGCGUACGAGACGGCUAACUCUGUGCCAGCCGCCGCGGUAAUACAGAGGUCUCAAGCGUUGUUCGGAAUCACUGGGCGUAAAGCGGGCGUAGGCUGUUUCGUAAGUCGUGUGUGAAAGGCGCGGGCUCAACCCGCGGACGGCACAUGAUACUGCGAGACUAGAGUAAUGGAGGGGGAACCGGAAUUCUCGGUGUAGCAGUGAAAUGCGUAGAUAUCGAGAGGAACACUCGUGGCGAAGGCGGGUUCCUGGACAGUAACUGACGCUGAGGCACGAAGGCCAGGGGAGCGAAAGGGAUUAGAUACCCUUGUAGUC
Molecule: ribosomal RNA, 445 nt
Filed under: uncultured bacterium
Lineage: Bacteria
Description: partial 16S ribosomal RNA
Rfam family: Bacterial small subunit ribosomal RNA
Source: RNAcentral